UUAGGAAAAUGAAGAUGUUGACGACUGAAGAAGGGACUGAUGGAUUCUGUGGGAGACAAAAGAAGGAAUCUGGGGAAGGAGAUAUACGGAGAUAGAUAGAGAAACUAAAGGAGAGGCCUUUUGUGACGGUGAAGGGAUGGUUUGGUGAUAUGAUAUGAUGAUUGUAGAUCUCUUUGUUGUUCUCUUCUUUCAAAGCAAAAGAGAAAAAGGAAUCGAAUGGUAAAUUUGUGUGUUAUACCAAAGUCAAGUUUUGCUGUUUGAUUUCAAGAACCAACCGACCUAACUUUUUUUUGUUUUUGUUUUUUGUCGGUAAUAACAUAAGGAUUGUCCUCUUUUGCAUUUCAAGUUCAACUAUUACGUUUUAGUAUUUUUAACAAAAUUUUGAUCCGAGCUUUUAAAUACUUUUUUGCUCUUACCACCAUUAGUCUAAGAUAUGUGUUGACAUGAGAAGAACCAAGUAUUUUGAAUAAAAAAUAUAAAAAAAAGUAAUCUUUAUGACAAUUGAUUGUAUGAUUGAUCAUUUAGAGAAAAAAAAAGAGUAAAUAAUUAUAUACAAUCUUGAAUGAAAUAAUAGAAGCUAAUGGAAAGUGGACCAACAAGAAAUAUAUAAACUAUUUUGAAUGUUUGGGUACUAGUUAUAUUUUUC
Molecule: long non-coding RNA, 646 nt
Filed under: Capsella rubella
Lineage: Eukaryota; Viridiplantae; Streptophyta; Magnoliopsida; Brassicales; Brassicaceae
Description: long non-coding RNA (CRUB_LNC001268)
Source: RNAcentral